UUUUUUUUUUUGAGACAGAAUCUCGCUCUGUCACCCGGGCUGGAAUGCAGUGGCGUGAUCUCACUGCAAUGGCUCAGUGAAUGGAAUGGCACAGUGAAUGGAAUGCAGUGGUGGAGCUCACUGCAAGCUACGCCUCCCGGGUUCAUGCCAUUCUCCUGCCUCAGCCUCCCAAGUAGCUGGGACUACAGGCGCCCACCACCAUCCCUGGCUAAUUUUUUUGUAUUUUUUUAGUAGAGACAAGGUUUCACCAUGUUAGCCAGGAUGGUCUCAAUCUCCUGACCUCGUGAUCCACCCGCCUCAGCCUCCCAACGUGCUGGGAUUACAGGCGUGAGCCACCGCGCCCAGCCUAGGAAAAUUCUUCUAUAAAGGGCCUAUUGAGGUUAAAGCAGCUCCAUCUUGGAUGCUACUCUGCCAGAUGGAGUCUUGCUCCAUCGCCCAGGCUGGAGUGCAGGGAUGCCAUCACUGCAACCUCAGCCUCUCAGGUUCAAGUGAUUCUCCUGCCUCAGCCUCCCAAGAGUACCUGGGUCUACAGGCGCAUGCCACCACACCUAGCUAAUUUUUGUAUUUUUAGUAGAGUCGGGGUUUCACCAUGUUGGCCAGGCUGGUCUUGAACUCCUGAUCUCAAGUGAUCUGCCCGCCUCGGCCUCCCAAAGUGCUGGGAUUACAGGUGUGAGCCACUGUGCCUGGCCUCUUGCAUCAUUUUUAUGUGCAGUCAGGAGGUACCUUGGUAGACGCAUCUAUGAGAGCAGAACCUGAUAAUUAGGGAAACCAAGUUCAGGCUCAGUGCUGUAAUCCUCCAUCAGGUCUCAUCACUUGAAGACAAGCAGCAUAUUCAAUGUCCUCUAAAGGACAAUAAGGUUUCUUGAGGAUAGAGUUUCUGUGAUCUUAGCACCUAGAAGAGAGCCUUGCACACAGCAGGCCAUCAAUAACAUCUGAAUAAAGGAUUAAUGAUGUUCCAGAUCUAGGAAUCAGUCAUUUAUGAUUCUAAGUUACGGAUAGUUAUAUUAUAGAUACAGAUAUACAUAUACAUAUACAUAUAUAUCAAUAUAGAGAUAUAGGCUUAUGCAUGUAUAUAUAGAGAGAUUUAUAUAUAUAUACAUAUAUAUAUAUCAAUAUCUGCCUAUAUCAUUAGUAACAGAUAAAUCACAGUCUGCAUUUAGGUAAAUUAUGUACUUAUUUGCCUAUUUAACAUUCUAUUUCUUGCCAUAAAAUUGCAAGUUCCACAAGGACAGAAAAUUGGCCUGGCUUGUUAUUGUUCUAUUGUCAAUGCCUAGAACAGUGUCCGGAACACAGUAGGUAUUCAAUACAUUUUUUUAAAUUAAUGAGUGAACGAAUUGUUGAUGCACAAUAAGUACAUAGUUUCUCUCUGAGUUUCAUGCAGACACAGAAUUUUUUCUUCUGUUCUCCAGCUGUGACUUAUUGGAUGAGAAUUGCAUAAUCACACUAAUUGACUUCAUAACAAAUUUAUGAUUUCCCAUCUCAGCCAGACUC
Molecule: long non-coding RNA, 1491 nt
Filed under: Homo sapiens (human)
Lineage: Eukaryota; Metazoa; Chordata; Mammalia; Primates; Hominidae
Description: non-protein coding lnc-MYC-12:1
Source: RNAcentral